This 208-nucleotide ribosomal RNA is filed under the name Staphylococcus aureus. RNAcentral's name for it is "partial 16S ribosomal RNA". It matches the Rfam family "Bacterial small subunit ribosomal RNA", at positions 683 to 889 of the family's 1533-position model. Lineage: Bacteria; Bacillati; Bacillota; Bacilli; Caryophanales; Staphylococcaceae. The record is from RNAcentral.
GAAAUGCGCAGAGAUAUGGAGGAACACCAGUGGCGAAGGCGACUUUCUGGUCUGUAACUGACGCUGAUGUGCGAAAGCGUGGGGAUCAAACAGGAUUAGAUCCCCUGGUAGUCCACGCCGUAAACGAUGAGUGCUAAGUGUUAGGGGGUUUCCGCCCCUUAGUGCUGCAGCUAACGCAUUAAGCACUCCGCCUGGGGAGUACGACCGC